Molecule: long non-coding RNA, 206 nt
Filed under: Lathyrus oleraceus (garden pea)
Lineage: Eukaryota; Viridiplantae; Streptophyta; Magnoliopsida; Fabales; Fabaceae
Description: Pisum sativum (pea) long non-coding RNA (PSAT_LNC020457)
Source: RNAcentral
UGAUGGAAGUUAAUUGGCAAAGCAAGAUUCCAAAGGUUCAAGGUGUGACCAUGUUGACAUUAAAGUGAAGAAGCCAAGCACAAGUGGUUAAACCAAAGAUCACAUGGUCAUGGAUAAUGUCAUGAGAGUUAGGACUAGUCAUUUAGUGAUUAAGGAUGACCAAUGGCAUAGGGUUGACUUUGGUCAAAUUUGACCAAAAAGUCAAC